CAUAAAAAAAAAAACAAGAAAUCCUUCUCUUUUUUACUUUAACCAUAGUUUUAUAUUUGGACUUUUUUUUUAUACUUUAUUGUAUAAUGUUUUCCAGAGACUUCAACAUCUGAAGAUUAUUAUUCAUUCUGCAUGACUAUUACAUGUUUGACUACAAACUAUCUGAUACAACAGUAAAACAAGACACUAUAGAUCUGUUGAAGAAUUCAUUAUUUUAAUUGCCUUCAACUUCAACCUUGAUGCUUCCUAAUAAGCUGUAGUUCAGCCUUGUGAACUGUCUUGCUGUCUUGGAACCAAACUUAUCGUGAAGCGGAAAACCAAACUCUAAAAUUCUACCCAGCCUCCUCAUUUGUGCAUGAUGCACAAAUAUGGAAAGGCUCCACUAAAUUUUAUAACAGAUAUAUGUCAAAUAUAUUAGUUUCAUCCUCAGGAAAAGUCAAUAAUAUUGAGCUGAGCCCUCUACCAAGGCAAAGUUCGGUUUGUGCUCGCUAUAUUCAACUAUGGCUGAUGGUGGAAGACGUCCAAUACAGAUCUCAUGCACUGUUGCAAAAAGUGGAAACAACUCUAGCCAUCCACGGUGACUUAAGACUUCAUACACUUCUCUUGCUGUUGAGACACCCUUUAACGUAUAGACACAAGAAUUGACAAAAUAGUUAGGUUUAACAACUUGACUUUUGAUAAUGUGAUAAAUCUACAAAAUAAAUGUUUUUGGUUCAUCCUAGGAAUGAUAUGCCAUUUAGGUAAUAGAAUGAGUUUCUAGCAACUCCAUUCUUAGCAAGUAGGACACUUGCUGGAAUUUGUAUUUUGCAUUCGAGUUAUGCAAAGUUCACAGAAACAGUGAAGUAUUCUAAGGUCUUUGCAAUCUACUUUGUGUCUCUUGCUUAUUAAAUCUGUGAUCCUUGUCAACAGAGUGAAAAAGUUAACUAUAAUUCUGGACUAAUGAACCCUUUAUAGGCAUGUUUACUCAGGAAAAAAAGUUCACAUUUUAACCAUUAACUUCCUCAUGCACCUGUAAUUUUUGGCCCUGCAACAUCUCUGCCUCAAGCUCAUCAAAAGACCUACAGACGAGAAACAUAGGUUAAGAUUAAAACCUUCAACAUUUUUCUAUAUUUUUUUGCCCCAACUAGCGAAAAAGGACACCUUUUUCCUCCAUUCUUUGCAAAGGCUUCUGCAACUUUCCUGUUUCUUCCUCCCACUGCCACAGAUGAUAUAAUUAUUUUCCAAGCAACAUUUUACUUUGCAGAGACUAAAGAAAUCUACAUGCUUCCUUACAGCAUGUUGUGAUGACAUCAGCUACACCACAGCUUUCGAAGAAAGUGCUGUCCUUAACAGAUGAAAACAACAACUUGGAGAAGGCUCUCAUCUCCCUCAGACCAAUUCUCAUUAUUGCAGCCUAGUGAGAAUACAAACAGUUAAGGCACAAGAGAAACACAAUAGAAGUUGGUGCUAAACCCUAUUAUGACUAUUUAGAUGCACCUUUGUGUUAUUUCCCAUUUCCAGACCAUCGACAAAACCUGUCCCAUCAGAGGUCAAUUGCUCCAUUGCUAACCCAAAGAAGAAGAAGAAGAGCAGCAAAUUGAUAUGGGAAACAAAAUCCAGUAUACAAACCUGCUGCUAAUGCCACAACAUUCUUCAAGGUCCCACAUAGUUCAACUCCCUCUACAUCUUGGACAGGCGUGACCAUGAAGUAAGGAGUACUAAAUAACUGAACCCAUUUCUCUGCAAUCUCUCUGUUCGCUUUGUAUCCAACUGUCGCCUCACUGAACUUCUCAACGGCGAUUUCAUUUGCUAUAUUUGCUCCCAUUAGCACACAACAAUUAAUGCCAAGCAGCUCAGAAAUAAGAUUUGAGAUCAUGCAAGGGCCUUCCAUUUUGACCUCCAUUCCUUUGAUGAGUGAAAUAGCCUCUACACCUUCCUUUAUCUUCCCAACAAGUCUCUUGCAUAUACCCUCCAUAAACUGAUGUGGAGUUACAAAUACCAACAUGUUUGCAUCCCUCACGGCAUUGUCAAGAUCAGGAUCUGCAAUAACAUUUUUUCCAAGCUUUAUACCCGGGAGAUAUUUAACAUUUUCAUUAGUUCGGUUAAUGACAUCUGUUAACUUCUCACCACUUGGUAAUGUCUCUUCAAACACCCACAUUCUCACUUCAUCAUGAAAAGAAGCAAGCUUGAGGGUGUUAGAAGCAAUAAGCUUAGCAGCCACACUACCCCAAUUGCCACUACCCACAACAGUGACUCUAGAAAUAUGUGAAGCAGCAGAAACAUCGUUGGCAAAGGCGUUUCUUGAAGCAGCUUCUUGGGCUUCCAUGGCAGCAGGUGGGGCCAUGAGAAAGGAAGGGGAAAAAGAAGAAAGAAAAGGACCGAGAAGGGAACGAGAGAUGGAGAAGAAGGAUGGAGAUGACAGAGAAGAAGGUGAAGGGAAGAGGGGAUGAUAUAUGGGAAACAGAAAGCGCAUUGGGGCGAAAAAGACAGACACGUUUCGUGAGAAACUAUGCGUUCUUCUUUGGGUUACAUGUUGAGUCCUCGGCGAUCUAUUCAAUGUUUUGUAACUUUUGUUUUAACUGAUGAGUCUAGA
Molecule: unclassified non-coding RNA, 2572 nt
Filed under: Hevea brasiliensis (rubber tree)
Lineage: Eukaryota; Viridiplantae; Streptophyta; Magnoliopsida; Malpighiales; Euphorbiaceae
Source: RNAcentral